Molecule: long non-coding RNA, 3398 nt
Filed under: Mus musculus (house mouse)
Lineage: Eukaryota; Metazoa; Chordata; Mammalia; Rodentia; Muridae
Description: long non-coding RNA chr16:52117520-52120918
Source: RNAcentral
UUUUUUUUUUUUUUUUUUGUUGUCUCUUUUCAUUCUAUAGUUUUUAUACAUUUCUACAACUUUGCCCCAGAAGUUUACUUUCUGGUUACUUCUCAGUCACUUACCAGCUUCCACACAAUUAACUACCUGACUCUCUGUACUCUUGCUAAUAUUUCUGAGUGCACAUAGUUGAGUAUGAUUUUACAUGGGCUUGUCCUGCACUGUUAAUUUUUUUACAGUUAUGUCAAAUUCUGUGAUGUUUCUUUUUGGAAUGCUAGUUCUGUUUUCAUUGUCUUCUGUAAAAUGCUUCUCCACUUUGUUUUAUGUAUAUGUGUAAUUUGCCUGAAGUUAUAUCUGUGCUUUAUAUACAUGUAUUACCUGCCGGGGCCAGAAAAAGGCAUUGGAUCCCCUGUGACUGGAGUCACAAUCGAUUGUGUGGGGUCCUAGGAAUCAAAUCUGGGUCCUCUGCAAGAGUAGCCAGUGCUCUUAAACAUUCAGGUUUCUGUCCAAGUCCAUUUCCAAUACAAUCUUUACACUUUUUUCCAAGUGGUUUUCGUGCUAAGGUAGCCUAUAGGACUAUGCACUAUAGAGACACCCUGUUGUUCUUGAGCACACACGUGAGUAUAUGAGACCACUUUCCUACUCUAGGUUCUCUUCCUUGGCUGACACUCCGGUAACUUCUGUUCGUGGGACUCUUCCAGAGGCAUUAGCACUUGUAGCUUCUCAUCUUUGCUCCAAUUAGCCCUAUCCCUUAAAGAUAGUACUUUUGCUCAGACUAUGGAACUAUCCUCAUAGCAGUGAGACUAUGGAACCUGAAGAGGUCAUCUCCUGUAGCCAGGCAAUGGCCCUAGUGGAGUGAUAGAGACAACAACCCACCCAGAAAACUUUCAAUGGAAAAAAUCUAUCCUGUCUACAAGAAAGGCAGGGCUAAAGAUGGAGCAGAAAUUGAGGGAAUGACCUACACGGGUAGGUGCUGAUUAUUCCUAAUUGGUUCUUGAUUGUGUCAAUAAAGAAGGCUAGAGCUAAUUGCUUGGUGAAGGGUAAAGGUGGGACUUCUGGGUCCCAGAAGGAAUAGAAGAGAUGCAGGGAAGGAAGUUGCUUUUGGCAGCUAUACAUUAGAAGGAGCAGAAAGCCAGUCAUGUAAGGCCUUAGUGCACUUAGGGCCUGCAGCCUCUGCAGCAGGUGGGGGCCAAGGAGUUGUGUGGGAGCUAGCUGUUAGCUGAUAACAUUGGCAAAGGAUAGUCUUUGCCCAGCAAUUGUGUUAUCUGGUAAGUUUUAUAUUAAAAAAAAAAGAUACUGUAAUCUCAGGAAUAAAAUUCUCUUGAAUCUCUUCAAGUUCUUCCAUCUCAGGACCCAACCCUCCCCUAAAUGUUACAAUCAGGUCCACUGAUUUUGAAUAAGCCCUUCCUGGCCUCCUGCAUUUACUAUUUUUAAUAUUUUAUUUAAAAUCGUUUGGAUAAUUAUCAUCUUCUCAGUCCGUGUCUAAGCUUUAUGAACUGGGGUUCACUGCUUUGUGUCUGUGCAUUUCAGCAGAGUGUGUGCUGUGUGCUUUCAUGAACAUUGGAUUUCAUCUCAGAAGGAUAGGGGAAGAAGAGGUGCAGGGCCUCUUAGUCCACACACAAUAGAGAUGGAGACACAGCUCCUACCUGGGAUGGGAGGAAACUAGACUGGCCCUGAGGCCCUGCCGCACUCGCCCUUCACUGCAGCCUCUCCUCACUCUGUCACUGGGCACACUCCUUGGCCUGCCAGUGGAUCCCUGUCCUUUUGUCUAAAGUGUGUGCCUGUGAGACGGUGAUAUAAUCUCUUGUCUGGUGUUGCUGUGGAAAUUCAACACGAUAAAAGCUGCCUAUAAAGAGGGAAAUAGUGUCUGGCUCAUAAUGGGCCAACUGUAUUGUGAAGUAAUUACGUAGUUUGGGUCUUUGAUCUUACUCCAAAUAUCAUCUAUGUAUUUGCUCAUUCUAGAAUUAAUACAGUUAAUCUUUGACUUUGAUGGAACUUCCACACCUGGCAAUGGAAGGCAAACCAAAAGGAAUUAAAAAUAAAACUUGAGUUGUCCCAAGAUCAUGUCUAUCCCUAUAUAAAAGUGAGUUAAAGGUCCAUGAUUUUGCUGACCCCGGGGAAAAUGGCCUUUUUAGAGCUCAGUUAUUGCUUCUGCCUUUGAUUUCCCGAGCAAGUGCUGUAGACUCUCUUUGGUUUCUUGUGUUCACUGUUCACUUUUAAUAAGAAACAAGGAAAAUUAUGUCUUUUCCUCUCCAUUGAGUAAGAUAUAUGUUCUAGGCUGUUAAUUAGUUCUUUUUCUCCAUUAUGGAAAAGACAAUCUAAUUCUCUCUAAUUAAUAGAGAGAGUGCACAGUUGAAACUGAGUAUACUUAUAGUGAAACUGGACAGCAGGUUCACUAGAAAAAAAUAACUAAGAAAUGAAAUAAGCUCAAAAAUAAUUUCUUUUGAACCAGCUCCCAAUUUUGUCUGUUUAAGCAAAUUAUAGUAUUUUAUCUCAAUAAAAUAAUGUAGCUUAAAUAGAAAUUGAAAUUUUUUGCUAGUGUUGGACUCAUUAUCUAAAAUGCAAAAGUACAAAAUUGUGACAUACUAAUUAUAAGCAUUCUUUUCAGAUUGGGAAUGACAGAAAAUAAAAAGGUGAUAAAUGCUUAAAGUUCUCAUUUGACGUUAGGAAGUGCCUACUGAAAACCGGAAUUGUAUGCUUCAUUACUGACUUAUUACCAAGGACUUUUUCAGCACAGGAUAUUACUCAAUUCAUCUUUAUCCUAUAUUCAUGUUUAUAUAAAUUAUCUAUCUCCAUUACUAUACUAAUGUAUGUAUUCACAAUAUGCAAAACACACAUAAAGUGAUACAUUAUACUAUAACAUUUUAAAACUAUAUACAGGGGGCUGGAGUGAUGGCUCAGAGGUUAACAGGUGUAGCUGUCCUUCCAGAGGUCCUAAGUUCAAUUCCUAGCAACUGCAUGGUGGUUCAUAACCACAUAUAAUGAAAUCUGGUGCCUUCUGGCUGCAGGCAUACAUGCAGACAGACACUGCAUAUAAAACAAUAAGUCACACACACACAAUGUAAGAAUAAUGUUGAUAUUUGCUUCACAUCCUGGCAAGCAUGUGUGCAUACCUCUAGUAUCUAAGACUACCACCUCCACAUGCACUUCAUUUAAAUACAGAAAAUGGUAAGGUCCAUAUAACUUCUUUGUACAUGCCCACUCAAUAUUUUGUUCAUCUCCACUCCUUUAACCUCUCUUUGUUUCCCACCUCUCUCCUGCUACCCUUUCUAUCCUCAACUCUCACCUCUGCUUUCAUAAUGCACCUCACACACACUCACUCUCAUACACACAGACACUUUCAUUCUCUCUCUCUCUCUCUCUCUCUCUCUCUCUCUCUCUCUCUCUCACUCACACACACACACACACACACUCACUUU